RNAcentral lists this long non-coding RNA (205 nucleotides) under Capsicum annuum. RNAcentral's name for it is "long non-coding RNA (CANN_LNC006257)". The record is from RNAcentral. Lineage: Eukaryota; Viridiplantae; Streptophyta; Magnoliopsida; Solanales; Solanaceae.
GUUGAUCCGUCGUCUGCGAUCCUCUGGUGCCGUCCGAAGAUAAUAUUUCAGUUCUUCCUGAUAAGUUGAUGUGUAAGUUCUCUCAUCAACACUGUUCCAACAAUUUAAAUCAUAAAACGAAUCAGAAAAAUCACUAUGUGCCGGCCUUUUAGAAGAUGAUGGCUCCUCGGGAGGAUGAGGAGCGACAGUUGGAGUGAUAUUUGUA